This 465-nucleotide ribosomal RNA is filed under the name Vreelandella stevensii. Its description in RNAcentral is "partial 16S ribosomal RNA". It matches the Rfam family "Bacterial small subunit ribosomal RNA", at positions 338 to 795 of the family's 1533-position model. Lineage: Bacteria; Pseudomonadati; Pseudomonadota; Gammaproteobacteria; Oceanospirillales; Halomonadaceae. The record is from RNAcentral.
CCUACGGGUGGCAGCAGUGGGGAAUAUUGGACAAUGGGCGAAAGCCUGAUCCAGCCAUGCCGCGUGUGUGAAGAAGGCCUUCGGGUUGUAAAGCACUUUCAGUGGGGAAGAAAGCCUUGGGGCUAAUACCCUCGAGGAAGGACAUCACCCACAGAAGAAGCACCGGCUAACUCCGUGCCAGCAGCCGCGGUAAUACGGAGGGUGCGAGCGUUAAUCGGAAUUACUGGGCGUAAAGCGCGCGUAGGCGGUCUGAUAAGCCGGUUGUGAAAGCCCCGGGCUCAACCUGGGAACGGCAUCCGGAACUGUCAGGCUAGAGUGCAGGAGAGGAAGGUAGAAUUCCCGGUGUAGCGGUGAAAUGCGUAGAGAUCGGGAGGAAUACCAGUGGCGAAGGCGGUCUUCUGGACUGACACUGACGCUGAGGUGCGAAAGCGUGGGUAGCAAACAGGAUUAGAUACCCCUGUAGUC